GAUGAACGCUGGCGGCGUGCUUAACACAUGCCAGUCGAACGGAGAAGCACUGCUUGCGCUGUGGGUCCGUGUCGCACGGGUGAGUGAAACAUGAGCAACAUGUCCCCUACUCUGGGAUAAAACCUGGGAAAGGCGGGUAAAACUGGAGAUGGGCUGUGCCGCCACGGUGAGCAGUUGGGAAGAUUUUUCCGGUUGGGGAUGGCUCCCGGGCUUAUCAGCUUGUUGGUGGGGUAGUGGCUCACCAAGGCUCUGACGGGUAGCCGGCCUGAGAGGGUGACCGGCCACACUGGGACUGAGACACGGCCCAGACUCCUACGGGAGGCAGCAGUGGGGAAUAUUGCACAAUGGGCGGAAGCCUGAUGCAGCAACGCCGCGUGAGGGAUGACGGCCUUCGGGUUGUAAACCGCUUUUAGCAGUGAAGAAGCGAGAGUGACGGUACCGGCAGAAAAAGCACCGGCUAACUACGUG
This 468-nucleotide ribosomal RNA is filed under the name uncultured bacterium. Its description in RNAcentral is "partial 16S ribosomal RNA". It matches the Rfam family "Bacterial small subunit ribosomal RNA", at positions 28 to 507 of the family's 1533-position model. The record is from RNAcentral.